AUGAGUUCCUGCCUUUCCCAUAUUAUUAGAGAUCAUUCCCUUGAUUUUGUUUGUUUGCAAGAGACUCAUAAGAAGAAGUUUUAGGAUGGUUAUUUUAGGAAAAUUGACCCCAGCACUGCUUUUGAUUGGGAAUGGAUCCCAUCCACGGGGAAAUCUGGGGGGUUACUUUGUGGAGUUAGAAGGGAGAGAUUUGAGGUGGUUGCUUGGAGGAAAGGCAAGUUUAUCCUCCAAGUUAAUGUCUAUGAUAUCAAAAUGAAGAAAGUAUGGACGUUAUGCAAUGUAUAUGGUGCAGCCCACGAUAAAGACAAGCAGGAAUUCCUUGUUGAAUUAGCUGACUUCUGCACUCAUGUGCAAAACCCUUUGUUGAUUGGGGGCGACUUUAAUAUUCUCAGGCAUGAGGGAGAAAAAAAUAAAAACUGGCAUCACUCACCUCACACAGAUAUGUUUAAUUUUGUGAUUAAUGCGAUGUGCCUGAGUGAAAUCCAUUUGAAUGGGGGGCUAUAUACUUGGACCAACAACCAAGCCCAUCAGACCUUGGAAAAGCUAGAUAGAAUCCUUAUGAGCAAUGAUUGGGAAGACCUCUUUCCCCAAGUCAAUCUUAAGAAAAUAGUUAGAGGCAUCUCUGACCAUAAUGCCUUAUGUUGUCCUCGGACAACUCCGUUGUCAGAGUCCCACAACAAAGAGAAUUUAGGUUUGAGAUCAGUUGGCUCAAAUCCGAAGAUUUUCUACCUUUGGUAG
This 738-nucleotide ribosomal RNA is filed under the name Triticum aestivum (bread wheat). RNAcentral's name for it is "partial small subunit ribosomal RNA". Lineage: Eukaryota; Viridiplantae; Streptophyta; Magnoliopsida; Poales; Poaceae. The record is from RNAcentral.